Brassica rapa (field mustard) is the source of this 1090-nucleotide RNA transcript. It is a transcript of the gene named heat shock 70 kDa protein 16, with no coding region annotated. The record is from RefSeq and is a predicted model, not a curated record. NCBI's taxonomy places the organism in Eukaryota, Viridiplantae, Streptophyta, Magnoliopsida, Brassicales, Brassicaceae.
AGAUUAUGAGGUAGGCUCAUCGCAUAAUCAAUGGCUUAUAUCUCUUAGGCUUGAUAGCUCUAAGUAUGCUUUGGGUGGUUAGGCUCUGCAUAUUUUAUGGAACCCUUUAGUCUGUUGUGUAAUAUUUUGUAGAUUGGUCCUUUUCAAAUUUCCCACGGAGAAGCAGCACGUGUCAAAGUAAGAGUUCAGCUAAAUCUCCACGGAAUUGUCAGCGUCGAUUCAGCUUCUCUAAUAGAAGGUCAUAAGGAGAAUAUGACUUCUGAAGAGAUGAUAUCCGAAAACAACCAUCAAUCUUCUGCGACGAAGGAUGACACUUCAAGCUCUACUGUAAAAUGAUCCUAAGGCUAUCAAAAGAACGGAGAUUCCAGUUGUUGGGAACGUCUCUGGUGCAUUGACAAAGGAUGAGUUAUUGGAGGCCAAACAGAGAGAGAACUCUUUAGUAGAGAAAGAUCUGAAGAUGGAAUCUACAAAGGAUAAGAAAAAUGCUCUUGAAUCCUUUGUUUAUGAGAUGCGUGAUAGGGUACUCGAAGCUUCCACUUUCAGAUUUUAAACAAAAAGGGUUUUGUUCCCUCUUCAAGAAUCUCAUCACUUGCAAGAAUUAACAUUGGGGGCAGAUGUUAAAUACAUAUAGGAACACUGCAACCGAGUCAGAACGGGAAUGCAUAGCCAGAAAUUGUUCUAACGGGGCUCGGUUCAUGAAUGUUCUUUUAUUAACUGAUGAAAUUGAAAAGGAUCUUGAAUGCGUUGCAGGACGUGCAAGUACAUUGGGAAAUCAAACUCUCUUCCUACCAAAUCGGAACAUAACGGAUCACAUGGAAGUAGAAAAUCAGAUGAUAUGGGGCUUGAUUGAUUUUUCACCAAGGCCGCAUAACAGUCUCAUAGUGUAACUCAUGUUCGGUUUCUUUUAUUUUCUUCUCUGUCACUGGUUUGAAUUUUGAGAAUCCAAUUUUUCCGCUAAUCAACUUAACACAAUUUAUAUAAAAUUUUAUUUUUAUUUUGUGUCUGCAUGUGGAAUUUUCUCAAUUUCAUUGUCUGUAAGGUGAAUAUUUUCAACAGUUUAAUAUUUGAAUAAAUUGGACCGAUUGUGACA